RNAcentral lists this long non-coding RNA (373 nucleotides) under Physcomitrium patens. RNAcentral's name for it is "long non-coding RNA (PPAT_LNC004062)". Lineage: Eukaryota; Viridiplantae; Streptophyta; Bryopsida; Funariales; Funariaceae. The record is from RNAcentral.
UUUUUCUGUUUUUUUUCUUUUUGUCUCGAUUGUGCAUUGCAGAAAAACUAUUUUCAUAGCCCUAUAUUAAAACUGGCAGGGAGGAAGCCAUUUGACUCCAGGCUGGGAGAUUAAAGUCCCUGGGUGGUCCUGGAAUGUCUAUGGUGUGCCUGUCCUUCAAACCAUGAUAGACAGUUGCUUUCAAUGGCCUCACUGAGAGAAGGGAUGUAGACUAACACCCAGACAUACUGUUCCAAGUUGGGCUACUACAGAUGCAGCAGGUCUACAGGGUGUAUGCAAUGGGAAAAUGUAGAUAGGACUGCCUGUAUUGGUUUUACAUUGACUCUGCCUGAAAGGCAACAAACAUGUGGAACAUGUACCUGUGGGAGGAGCC